GAUUGUCAUCAUAGAGCAGACAUGGGAUGUCUGCAGCUAACUUCUCAAGAACGAGCAUCAUGAGGCCCCGGGAAAAUUCAAGCUGAAAGAAACAUGUAAGCAGGAGAGUAUCUCCAGCUCUAUAUCUAUUCCAGGGUGGACGUGCCCUAAGCGCCAGAGAAAGUGGAAGGCCACAGCAGCUUCCUGACAAAGAAGACCAAGAUUCAGGAAACAAGUUAUCCCUUGUAUUUUUCUUCCCAGAUCAACUUUUACUGGCAAAUUCACUGAAGGGUGCAGAUCUGGUUGUAAACGACUGGGAGCUGAAUGGCAGAAGAGGACUCAGCAUCAAAUAUGCACUUUACCCCGUGCAGAGGCCCCAAAAACGUGGCCUUUGACAAGAAGGAGGAACAUGAGGGAUCUGGAAGC
Long non-coding RNA from Herpailurus yagouaroundi (jaguarundi), 405 nucleotides. RefSeq lists it as uncharacterized. The transcript has 4 exons. NCBI's taxonomy places the organism in Eukaryota, Metazoa, Chordata, Mammalia, Carnivora, Felidae. The record is from RefSeq and is a predicted model, not a curated record.